This is a long non-coding RNA of Oryzias melastigma (Indian medaka), 207 nucleotides long. RefSeq lists it as uncharacterized. NCBI's taxonomy places the organism in Eukaryota, Metazoa, Chordata, Actinopteri, Beloniformes, Adrianichthyidae. The transcript is spliced from 2 exons. The record is from RefSeq and is a predicted model, not a curated record.
GGCGUUUUAUAACGUACUUGGAACAGAACUAGCUAUUCCAAUAACAGCUGAUGACUCCUGCUCAGAAAAGUGAAGGACAACACAACGACAAAGGCAGUUUGGUCGAGAUUUGAAGUAGGAGGACACAUUGCAAAAAAUCCCAACAGUUUUUCAUACAUUGCAUGUCUACAUGUAACUCUCCUUUUUAUUAAAUAUUUUUAGAUUGCA